Molecule: non-coding RNA, 82 nt
Organism: Pichia kudriavzevii
Lineage: Eukaryota; Fungi; Ascomycota; Pichiomycetes; Pichiales; Pichiaceae
Source: Rfam
GUGGGUUUGGCCGAGUGGUCUAAGGCGUCACGUUUAGGCCGUGAUAUCUUCGGAUGCAAGAGUUCGAACCUCUUAGCCCACA